Molecule: long non-coding RNA, 743 nt
Organism: Oreochromis aureus
Lineage: Eukaryota; Metazoa; Chordata; Actinopteri; Cichliformes; Cichlidae
Exons: 3
Source: RefSeq, a predicted model, not a curated record
GGAAGAGAGGCAGAUCAUGCCUGGUAAAGACAUGAGGAGGAACAGUGACAAAAGGAGCUGUGUGAGGCUACUAAAGGCAGUGGAUCCCUCACCAGCUGGAUUACAAAGAGCACAGAUGUGCGGAGUGUAGAGAGAUGGGACCCAAGUCCAGAUGCUGACGAUGAACUUAACUGUGAGUGAACCUUUAUUAGCGGCAGGGACAGAAUAUAAAAUGCAGAAAGUGGCAAAGACUAAACUAAAGAAAAACCUAAACUGGGAGGCAACUACAAAAGCAAUACAAAGGAACUAAAAGCAUGAAAACCUGAGACUCUGGAACAUGGAGAAAUGCAGCGGGCAAUACCCAGACGACCCAUCAACAAACAGAGGAAGAAAAAGGGCUUAAAUACACAGAGGGAUAAUGAGGGAAUGAGACACAGGAAGAGAGCACAGCUGGGAGAAAUCACACUAACAUAGCACAUGAGACUCUCAAAGUAAAACAGGAAACAUGAGACAGGCACAGACAUGAACACAUAACUCGAUUAGACGUGACACAAGGAACACAGGGGAAGCAGAGACACAGAAACCAAGAGACUAGAAAUUAUAAAUAACAAUGAAAUCCAAGACUACAAAUAUUUCAAAACAGGAAACACUGGGUCACCGACCCAGGACUGUGACAAUGUCAGCAUGUUGCAGGGUGUUUGUUACAUACUCAAUUUCCAGGACCAAAACCCCAAUACAAGAAGUCUGGUUUGGCUUUCUGUUUA